Molecule: ribosomal RNA, 194 nt
Filed under: uncultured Cantharellales
Lineage: Eukaryota; Fungi; Basidiomycota; Agaricomycetes; Cantharellales
Description: partial 28S ribosomal RNA
Rfam family: Eukaryotic large subunit ribosomal RNA
Source: RNAcentral
CUGAUCUCAAAUCAGGUAGGAAUACCCGCUGAACUUAAGCAUAUCAAUAAGCGGAGGAAAAGAAACUAACAAGGAUUCCCCUAGUAACGGCGAGUGAAGCGGGAAGAGCUCAAAUUUAAAUCUGGCAGUGUAUNCUGUCCGAGUUGUAGUCUAGAGANGCGUCAUCCGCGCUGGACNAUGUACAAGUCUCUNGA